GCCAAAGCAAAUUCUUAACAUGACUAAAAUAUAUACGUAAACAGAAAAAUAUUGAGUUUAAAAGCAUGAGUCAAAUAGCGAGAGAUUGUUUACCUGCAACUGACCACAGAGAAAAAAUACCUUAAUUUUCUCAAAGAGAUUCUUGAGAUAGUAGAGCUUCGUGCUGAUAACGUGUUAUAAAAUAAUACAAGAACUUGAGAUAGUAGAGCUUCGUGCUGAUAACGUGUUAUGAAAUAAUAGAAGAACAAGAACAAUAUUGCAGAGCAAGGUAGGGAGAGGAGAAUUCUUAUUAAUA
RNAcentral lists this long non-coding RNA (295 nucleotides) under Nicotiana benthamiana. Its description in RNAcentral is "long non-coding RNA (NBEN_LNC023294)". The record is from RNAcentral. Lineage: Eukaryota; Viridiplantae; Streptophyta; Magnoliopsida; Solanales; Solanaceae.